CAAAUUUAAAGCUGCAGUAUCGAUUGAAGAAUCAAUCAUAAUAACGAGUUUAACGAUUAAUCCUAAUUCCUAUAAUUAUAAAAAUUAUUCUUCGAAUUUAAUUUUCAAACAGUACGGAAUUUUUUUUUUUAACAACGACAAAAUUUUCCACGUCUUUUGAAAAUCGUUGGCAACGCGGUUGAUAUUGCAAUAUGCAUUUUCAACGAUAGAACCAUGUCGUUAUUAAACAUUAUGAACAUAAUGGGCAUCAGAGCCGACAAUGAAACGUGCCAAUAUAGUGAGCAACUGGGCACGAAACGGACAAUCACUGCUGAGCAUAGAACACUAGAAACGACGCACAAAGGGGCUUGCAUCAGAGGGGGUUGUUGGCACUUCACGUGAUUCGGAAUAUAGUCUCGUUAAAUUAGAAAUUUCUGAAAUAAAAGAAUCACGAGGAAUUGAAAGUAUCAAUACCAGAAACUUUCAUAUUCGGAUGGUAAAGACAUUAGCAUUUUGGAGUUCCAAAGAUUUUACGACACCGAUAACAAAAUGAGGCAUUUUUUACGAAUAUUCUGAAAAUAAUUUAUUCAGCGGAUCUUUAUGAAACUUACGAAAGAAAAAUUGAAGGUUCGUAUACACGGGUUUCCACGUACAAUUUUGUAUUAAAAGAAAUUCAUUUGCUAUCACCAAAUAUCCAAUAAAAGACCCAGAAAAAGCCUCAUAAAGCUGCCUAAUACAUUAUUUUUAUUUUCAAUAAAUACGUAAAAAAAAGUCAGGUCGGCGAGUGAAGGAAUCAGAAAAGAAACACGUAGGAAUUAUCAUAGAAAAGAACAGAAACUAGACGAAAGACGCAGAAAUGUUGCGUAGCGGAAGGAAGUAGCGAAAGUAAGAAUUAUGACGGACAUCUUGUGUUGCAGUAAUCCGAGGGCUUUGUGCCGACGAUACAUCUUCUUAAGGUUUCCAACACAACACUCCAUACUUGACUCGUAUUCUUUUUCUCAAACUGUUUUCUUCCUGCACAAACAAAUUCUGAAACUCUCUAGCCCGUAGGCGUUCAACACAUUCACUGCCACGUUGUCCAUAUAUGGGUGAUAAAGAUGUUAACAACGAACGAACACAUACCGUAUUCAUUUGGCAAACAUGAAGACAGUAGCAACAUUCAUUAAUUGAUGCAAUUUCUAGGCAUACAGUGAACAACUCCAUUGUAGCAAACAUCUUAAUUUUUAGCCCAGUAACUUCCCUAAUUACAAAAGAUUUGAUUUUUUUUUCUGCUCCUUCCAGGAAUUGAACCUGGGUUUGCGCCGCCAGAGCCUGACACUUUGCGCGCUGGACCACACCGCUUUCUUGUGACCCAUUGUGCAGUCAAAGUAUUUAAGCUAUGUCGCGGAUGCAUACAAUCCUUAAUAGAUCGAAAACUAUUAGUUUGCGACUCCUACGUGUAUAAGUGAAAAUUAAUUGUUCCUUCGAGAUCUACGGGUACCUCUUGGUUUAAAGCUCAUCCAAUGUCAUGGCCUUCGACCUCGAAUUUUCCAUAAACGGACAAAUAUCUGUAUAAUUGCCCAAACAUGACUGAAUCUAAUAGUAUAUUCACAAAAAAUAGAAAUAGUUUUUGUCACUUUUGUGAAGAAGUUACAAUAGCCAUACAGAAAUACAACAAAGUUCACAGUGAAUAUAAUGGGGAUUAAUAAAUUUGAAUAAACCAAACCCAAUUAUUUGUUCUGCCGCGGUAAAAUAUCUUGUUGACCAAUUAAACGCACCGAGGGACGUUUCCUUGUAUGUUAUCAGAUAUAGCGGGCUUUGACCUGUUGAAAUCGCUGAUCGAAUGAGAGAUUAGCCUCUCAAGGAAGCGAUAAUACGUUGCUUCUGAUAAGCAACUGGUCCAACUUUUCGGGACACACCGAUUUAUUUUACGAAAGCAGGUUGUAUGAAUUACAAAUAAAUUGAUACUAUUCGAUAGUGUA
Hylaeus volcanicus is the source of this 1940-nucleotide long non-coding RNA. RefSeq lists it as uncharacterized. NCBI's taxonomy places the organism in Eukaryota, Metazoa, Arthropoda, Insecta, Hymenoptera, Colletidae. The record is from RefSeq and is a predicted model, not a curated record. The transcript is spliced from 3 exons.